This is a long non-coding RNA of Petromyzon marinus (sea lamprey), 2606 nucleotides long. RefSeq lists it as uncharacterized. The record is from RefSeq and is a predicted model, not a curated record. NCBI's taxonomy places the organism in Eukaryota, Metazoa, Chordata, Hyperoartia, Petromyzontiformes, Petromyzontidae.
ACACACACACGGGCACACACGCAGACGCACGCGGUGGGUUUUUUUUUUAAAAGAAAGAAUACAGCGGCGAAGUAAAAUAGGUCGGAAUGUUGACAACCCCCGGGCCCGUCAGACGGUCAAAAGUUGCUUAGAGCAAAGAGCGCAAGGACCGAGGCGGAUGAGGGCCAAUGAGCUUCGGCCGAGCGGCAGAGGAGCGAGCCCAUUGGCUGCCGGGCCGGCGCCUUUGAUGUUCGCCGCCGAGCUCUGUUGACACGCAGCGAGCGCGUGUUAAAUGCAUCACAUGCGCGAAUACUCGCGGGCAAGGCACGCCUUUGCUUUGCCUCUUCCCGCCCUCAAAGUCUUGAGUUCAUGUGUUCAUGUGGCUCUUGCCGAUUGCACCGAGACUACGUUUACUACUGUGUGGUUGCGGCAACAACAACAACAACUCACACGCAUCACCUGCUGCUCACUUAAACGUUUUGGGGGGUUACUAAAAAGGGAGUGAAACUGGCUUGACGGUGUGAGUGAGCAAAUGGGUUUUACAAUAACAAAAAAAGUACGGUGACUUUAUUUGAGUUAAAGUUACCCUGUCUGUGUUUAUGCCCAAUAAGUAACUUAACGCUCUAGCGCCAUUGCCUUGAAGUACGGAACAUUACCUAAAAGGUGGCCAAUUAUAUAAUGUACAGUACCUCUUUCGGGGCAAUGCUAUUGACGAAUUUGUUGAUUUCGCCUUGUGUCCGCACCACUGCCAACGGAGUACCACCGCACAAUUUUCGAUUUUCCAAAAAUGGGUUUCUCUUCUUUUAAGGGUCAUUAUUGGCAUCGUGUACCAUGAUUAAUGUGUUAUAACUGUAAUUGGAUGGAGUCCGUUUCGUGUAAUUUAUUUAGACUAAAACGCAUUAACUGUGCACCUGAGUGCAUCAACAAAAUAUAAAUGACUUAUUCGUCUUGCUGUUCCCAAGCCGUUACGUUUUUCAUCUGUUCGCAGAGUAUAGCUGCUUACGAAGGACCGAAAUAACUUUUAUCCCCAUAGUACUUUUUAGAACACCGUACAAAUGUGAAUUUAAACCUGGGUACUUCAUAUACUUUGCGUGUUUUCAUGAAAAUAUGCUCCUUUUCAGUGUUAUGAGUAAUACAUACGUUGACAUUCCGUUCCAUUUCAUCCCAUGAAAAUAGAUGUUAUUAGUUGAUAGCAUUAUCAGCUUUAUAUGCUUUGUAAGCCAGCAGUGUUCUAGCACGCAAAGCAAGCACGGUUUCAACCUGCUGGGUUUCAUCAGCAGAGUCAAGCGUGUUAACGCAUUCCGCUGGUUGACCAAAUGUUUUCGGUAAGAACACCCCCUAUAUAUACCACGGGUAUCCUUUUAAGUGUUUUAUUCAUUUUGCUAAUGGUUCUUUCGAUUAAUAUGAUUCCAUGUUUCACAUACUCUGAGGCAUGUUGAUGUGUCUAAAAGUUUUGAACAUUUACCUUACCUUGUGGAAUAUACUUGCUUAGUCAAACUCUCAAUCAGUAUAUCAACGUUUAGUUAGGAUCGUUUUCAGUCCUUUCACCCUUGCAUUUCGUUCCUUCGUAAAUACAACCCAAAGUGAGCGCGUGUUUUGGGGCAUUAAAAUUACAAUUUAAAUUACUUUGGAUUCCUUCAGCAUUAAAACCCAGAUUUAUUUUGCUAUGUUUCCAUUUCCCCUGCGGUGUUUUUGUUGCAGAACACGGCAAUUCCCGCACUCGUGUAAGAGGGGCAUGUUGGCACACACAUGCGUUCGAUUUAUACCCACUGGCAGCCCACAGACAAAUACGUUAGUGUGUAUAAACUACAGUAUAUCGUGUGCAGUACAGGUACUUCCAUAUAGUCACUUGCGGUGUAUACCGUUUAUAAUACGUAGCGCAUAUAAAAUCAUGUUUAUGAAUUAUAUAGAAUUUGGCUGCUGGUAGCAAGAAAUAAAGAUGCCAAUUUUCCCCAGGAAAGCCAUGCCCCAACUGCUAUUGUAGACACAUCCACUGAGAGAGAAUAGGUUGCAUGUAAGACGAAUUUAAAUCCAAAUUAUACCGUAUUGUAAAUGGCAUUUGUUAAGACAGAAAAUAUGCAUAAUGGAAAACAGAUUCAUUAUUCCACGAAAUUAAGUUAACUCUUUUUUUUACAUACAAGACGUGUAAUUUUUUUCUGGUACUGCAGUGGGAGUAGUGCAUGAGAAAAAAUAACAAAAACCUCAACAUAUCGUUAAUACAGUCACAUUGCCAUGAAUAACUAAUAAAAAAACGCAUAGGUGACAUAGGUGACAUUUAGGGGAUGGUGAUACUAUAUUUAAUUUGUAUAAACUAGGGCCAUUAAUCGAAACAUCGCCUAUUACAAAUUUAGGUUUUCCUUUCAAGACAGUCAUCUUACUUUCCUGCGCUAGUACAUAACUAAAACACACAUUGUUUGACACGCAUAUUAAAAAAAUGAACCAUCCAUGGUGGGUAAAAAUGUUUGUGUGACAUAUCAGAAGUUACGUUCUUGAUGUCCCGCAUAUGAAACAACUGUGACAGCAGCGAGUACGUUUCCUUACAAUGAUGCACCAGAAUAGUUUAACAGUCCUUACAUUGUACUGGAGAGAUGCCAUUAAAAGCCAAAGCUAACGUGACCGAGUCAAAA